RNAcentral lists this ribosomal RNA (495 nucleotides) under uncultured bacterium. RNAcentral's name for it is "partial 16S ribosomal RNA". It matches the Rfam family "Bacterial small subunit ribosomal RNA", at positions 29 to 507 of the family's 1533-position model. The record is from RNAcentral.
AUGAACGCUGGCGGCGUGCCUAAUACAUGCAAGUCGAGCGAACAGACGAGGAGCUUGCUCCUCUGACGUUAGCGGCGGACGGGUGAGUAACACGUGGAUAACCUACCUAUAGACUGGGAUAACUUCGGGAAACCGGAGCUAAUACCGGAUAAUAUAUUGAACCGCAUGGUUCAAUAGUGAAAGACGGUUUUGCUGUCACUUAUAGAUGGAUCCGCGCCGCAUUAGCUAGUUGGUAAGGUAACGGCUUACCAAGGCAACGAUGCGUAGCCGACCUGAGAGGGUGAUCGGCCACACUGGAACUGAGACGCGGUCCAGACUCCUACGGGAGGCAGCAGUAGGGAAUCUUCCGCAAUGGGCGAAAGCCUGACGGAGCAACGCCGCGUGAGUGAUGAAGGUCUUCGGAUCGUAAAACUCUGUUAUUAGGGAAGAACAAAUGUGUAAGUAACUAUGCACGUCUUGACGGUACCUAAUCAGAAAGCCACGGCUAACUACGUG